GUCCAGUAACUAUAUGAAAAUCUCAAUUUUGUUCCUAAUUUCACCGGAAAUUUGGAACUACACAUGCCAUCACGUGAUUGAAAUAGGAUGAAAUUAGUACCAAAAUUGAGAUUUUCAUAUAGUUACUGUAC
RNAcentral lists this microRNA precursor (131 nucleotides) under Rehmannia glutinosa. Its description in RNAcentral is "MIR7807 microRNA precursor family". It matches the Rfam family "MIR7807 microRNA precursor family". The record is from Rfam by way of RNAcentral. Lineage: Eukaryota; Viridiplantae; Streptophyta; Magnoliopsida; Lamiales; Orobanchaceae.